AUCCAGGUGACGAGUCCCAGACAGGACGAAAUGCGCCUUAUCCUGGAU
RNAcentral lists this non-coding RNA (48 nucleotides) under Trichobilharzia regenti. Lineage: Eukaryota; Metazoa; Platyhelminthes; Trematoda; Strigeidida; Schistosomatidae. The record is from RNAcentral.